AAAGUAAUUUUGAAAUUGUUCAAAAUCUUUCGCCGACGUCAGUGUCAUCAUUACCACUUUAAUGCAAGUUGUCAUUUUUCCAGAAGAACUUCUCAAAAAUUCAUCAUUACUUAUAUUUUCUAGGAGAUCAUGGAUUUUCACGUUUUCACUAACUUCUCCACUUCUAUCAACUCACCCACUUCUAAAGAACUUAAACAUUUCACAUCAACACACGUAUGCCAUGUGUCCGUCAUUGACAAGAAAAAUAACC
Molecule: long non-coding RNA, 250 nt
Filed under: Lathyrus oleraceus (garden pea)
Lineage: Eukaryota; Viridiplantae; Streptophyta; Magnoliopsida; Fabales; Fabaceae
Description: Pisum sativum (pea) long non-coding RNA (PSAT_LNC042253)
Source: RNAcentral